GCUAGCAAUUAGCUUGCCCUGCCCUGUUAAACUAUUGUAAACCAUAAUAUGGCCUGAGCUAGCGCAAGGAACACCCUACAGAGAGCCCCUCAGUCUGCCACCAGUAACCACCACCACUGUUGCAUGAGUGAAACCCCGAGGAGCUAUGUCCUGUAGUGCGAGGUGUCAGCUGAGAGGUGCCAUGACAUCUGGAGGAGUCCGACCCCACUUGACCUUCAAAGCUAUCAAUCCACCCGUCCUCUCUGUCCGUCAUCACUCCCAGAAGAUGUUGGUGAUGUCAGAGUCCAGGCUGAAGAUCCAGAUCACUAGCGGUGCAGAGAUCAGGACGAACGACCAG
Molecule: long non-coding RNA, 337 nt
Organism: Epinephelus fuscoguttatus (brown-marbled grouper)
Lineage: Eukaryota; Metazoa; Chordata; Actinopteri; Perciformes; Serranidae
Exons: 3
Source: RefSeq, a predicted model, not a curated record